This 446-nucleotide ribosomal RNA is filed under the name uncultured bacterium. RNAcentral describes it as "partial 16S ribosomal RNA". It matches the Rfam family "Bacterial small subunit ribosomal RNA", at positions 338 to 795 of the family's 1533-position model. The record is from RNAcentral.
CCUACGGGUGGCAGCAGUCGAGAAUCAUUCACAAUGGGGGAAACCCUGAUGGUGCGACGCCGCGUGGGGGUAUGAAGGUCUUCGGAUUGUAAACUCCUGUCAUGUGGGAGCAAAUUAAAAAGAUAGUACCACAAGAGGAAGAGACGGCUAACUCUGUGCCAGCAGCCGCGGUAAUACAGAGGUCUCAAGCGUUGUUCGGAAUCAUUGGGCGUAAGGCGUGCGUAGGCUGUUUCGUAAGUCGUGUGUGAAAGGCGCGGGCUCAAGCCGCGAACUGCACGUGAUACUGCGAGACUAGAGUAAUGAAGGGGGAGCCGGAAUGCGUGGUGUAGCAGUGAAAUGCGUAGAUAUCGAGAGGAACACUCAUGGCGAAGGCGGGUUCCUAGACAUUAACUGACGCUGAGGCACGAAGGCCAGGGGAGCGAAAGGGAUUAGAUACCCCUGUAGUC